GCGCGUCUGUGGUUGCAAGUCGAUGCCAGGCGCGGGCAAAGCGAUCCACGUAAACCGGCAAAUGUCCGGCGAGCAUGGCGCGCCUUAGAGGUAAGUCCUGCCGGCCAAAAAUUCUUCCGAGAGGGUCAGUAGUGGGGAGGCAGAGUCCUUAUGAGCGAACGCUCCAGCAGGCGAGUGUGGGGUCAAAGACCAGGUCAGGCGU
RNAcentral lists this non-coding RNA (202 nucleotides) under pig gut metagenome. RNAcentral describes it as "raiA RNA". It matches the Rfam family "raiA RNA". The record is from RNAcentral.